Molecule: ribosomal RNA, 253 nt
Filed under: uncultured bacterium
Lineage: Bacteria
Description: partial 16S ribosomal RNA
Rfam family: Bacterial small subunit ribosomal RNA
Source: RNAcentral
UACGUAGGGUGCAAGCGUUGUCCGGAAUUAUUGGGCGUAAAGAGCUCGUAGGCGGUCUGUCGCGUCGGGUGUGAAAGACCGGGGCUUAACCCCGGUUCUGCAUUCGAUACGGGCUGGCUAGAGUGUGGUAGGGGAGAUCGGAAUUCCUGGUGUAGCGGUGAAAUGCGCAGAUAUCAGGAGGAACACCGGUGGCGAAGGCGGAUCUCUGGGCCAUUACUGACGCUGAGGAGCGAAAGCGUGGGGAGCGAACAGG